RNAcentral lists this ribosomal RNA (406 nucleotides) under uncultured bacterium. RNAcentral's name for it is "partial 16S ribosomal RNA". It matches the Rfam family "Bacterial small subunit ribosomal RNA", at positions 30 to 526 of the family's 1533-position model. The record is from RNAcentral.
AUUGAACGCUGGCGGCAUGCCUAACACAUGCAAGUCGAGCGAGCAGCGGGCGGGUGAGGAAUGUCUGGGAAACUGCCUGAGGGAGGUGGAUAACUAAUGGAAACGGUAACUACUCCUGCGUACCAUCAGACGUGUCCCGAUGUGAUUAGCUAGUAGGUUGGGUAACGGCUCACCAAGGCGACGAUCCCUAGCUGGUCUGAGAGGAUGACCAGCCACACUGGAACUGAGACACGGUCCAGACUCCUACGGGAGGCAGCAGUGGGGAAUAUUGCACAAUGGGCGCAAGCCUGAUGCAGCCAUGCCGCGUGUGUGAAGAAGGCCUUCGGGUUGUAAAGCACUUUCGGCGGGGAGGCGGUACCCGCAGAAGAAGCACCGGCUAACUCCGUGCCAGCAGCCGCGGUAAUAC